Molecule: long non-coding RNA, 543 nt
Filed under: Lynx canadensis (Canada lynx)
Lineage: Eukaryota; Metazoa; Chordata; Mammalia; Carnivora; Felidae
Description: lncRNA (ENSLCNG00005013723.1)
Source: RNAcentral
GACUGGGGGACCCAGCAAACCCCAGGGGGGCUGAAGAGCAGAAUGAGAGUUGCCAGUUCGAAUCCUUCUGCUCUGUGCUGUGGGUCCUGAGUUCAGCCUUCAGAAGUCUGACCAGGCCUCGGCACAGGCCACCUGCUCCCCCCAGGGGCCCUGGCCUCCGCUCCCCCAGGUUCAAGCUGCCCCUUCUCAGCUGAUCUUCCCAAACUGCCUGCAUUCACCCUGCUGCCUCCCAAGGGUACAUGUGCCACUCACCCCAGGUGGGUGCAUGAAGGGAUCUGCACCCCCCCACCCCCUUGAGGAAAGCUGCUUUGCCAAGCUCAUUAGUGUGAACGAAGGUGGCCACUGCAGAGGACCCCCAACCAGGAGACACGGUGUAAUUGCUUUACUCCUCUGCUCCUCGCCCCUCUCCACCAAAUAAGUUGAUCAGGGCAGUAAUUCUCGGUCAAAGGGUAAAUAGUCAUGUCUGGCCCUGUCUCUUUACCUGGGCCACAUUGGAAGCUGAAUCGUAGCUAUUGAGUGUUUAUCUGUCUGUUUUGUGUUGCA